AUGGGAUCCCAAUGGGGUCUCUAUGGGGUCUAUUCAUCCCUAUGGGUCUCUAUGGGUCUCUAUGGGUUCCUGUGGGGUCUGUAUGGGUCUCUAUGGGGUCCCUAUUGGGUCUAUAUAGGUCUAUGGGUCUCUAUGGGUCUCUAUGGGUCUAUGGGUCCCUAUGGGUCUCUAUGGGUUCUCUAUGGGUCUCUAUGGGGUCUAUUCAUCCCUAUGGGUCUCUAUGGGUCCCUAUGUGUCCCUAUGGGUCUCUAUGGGUCCCUAUGGGUCCCAAUGGGGUCAAUGGGUCUCUAUGGGGUCUAUUCAUCCCUAUGUGUCCCUAUGGGUCUCUAUGGGUCUCUAUGGGUCCCUAUGGGGUCAGUGGGUCUCUAUGGGGUCUAUUCAUCCCUAUGGGUCUCUAUGGGGUCUAUUCAUCCCUAUUCAUCCCUAUGGGUCUCAAUGUGUCCCUAUGUGUCCCCAUAUAUCAGGCUAUAUCCGCGUUGUGCUGUCGUCGCUGUCGUUCCUAUUGAUGCCCCACUCCCCGGUUCCCGCUGCUGUGUGCUAUGGGCUCAGCGCCGCCAUGGGCACCUAUGGGCUCUAUGGGGCUCUAUGGGUCUCUAUGGGUCCCUAUGGGUCCCUAUGGGUCCCUAUGUGUCUCUAUGGGUCACUAUGUGUCCCUAUUGGUCCCUAUGGGUCCCUAUGGGUCCCUAUGAGUCUCUAUUGGUCCCUAUGGGUCACUAUGUGUCCCUAUGGGUCCCUAUUGGUCCCUAUGGGUCCCUAUUGGUCCCUAUGGGUCUCUAUGUGUCCCUAUGGGUCUCUAUGUGUCUCUAUGUGUCCCUAUGGGUCUCUAUGGGUCCCUAUGUGUCUUUAUGGGUCCCUAUGGGUCUCUAUGGGGUUCUAUGUGUCCCUAUGUAUCCCUAUGGGUCCCAAUGUGUCCCUAUGGGUCCCUAUGUGUCUCUAUGUGUCCCUAUGGGUCUCUAUGGGGUUUAUGUGUCUCUAUGGGUCCCUAUGGGUCUCAAUGUGUCCCUGUGGGUCUCUAUGAGUUGCUAUGGGGUCCCUCUUGGUCUCUAUGUGUCCCUAUGGGUCCCUAUGGGGUCUCUAUGGAUCUUUAUGGGGCUCUAUGGGGUCUCUAUGGAUCUCUAUGGGUCCCUAUGGGUCUCUAUGGGUCUCUAUGGGGUCUCUAUGUGUCCCUAUGGGGUCUCUAUGGGGUCUCUAUGGGGUCUAUGGGUCCCUAUGUAUUUCUAUGGGGUCCCUAUGGGUCCUUAUGGGAUCUCUAUGGAUCUUUAUGGGGUCUCUAUUGGUCCUUAUUGGUCUCUAUGUGUCCCUAUGGGUCCCUAUGGGGUCUAUAGGUCUCAGUGGGUCCCUAUGUGUCCCUAUGGGUCCCUAUGUGUCCCUAUUAGUCUCUAUGUGUCUCAAUGGGGCUCUGUGGGGCUCUAUUGGGUCCUAUAG
This 1425-nucleotide long non-coding RNA is filed under the name Coturnix japonica (Japanese quail). RNAcentral describes it as "lncRNA (ENSCJPG00005002196.1)". The record is from RNAcentral. Lineage: Eukaryota; Metazoa; Chordata; Aves; Galliformes; Phasianidae.